Molecule: ribosomal RNA, 759 nt
Filed under: uncultured bacterium
Lineage: Bacteria
Description: bacterial SSU rRNA
Rfam family: Bacterial small subunit ribosomal RNA
Source: RNAcentral
AGAGUUUGAUCUGGCUCAGGACGAACGCUGGCGGCGUGCUUAACACAUGCAAGUCGAACGAGGUAGCAAUACCUAGUGGCGGACGGGUGAGUAACACGUAGGUAACCUGCCUCUUAGUGGGGGAUACCCACCCGAAAGGGUGGCUAAUACCGCAUACCUUGUGGAGUUGCAAUACUCUUCAAGAAAGAUUUAUCGCUAAGAGAGGGGCCUGCGUACGAUUAGCUAGUUGGUGGGGUAACGGCCCACCAAGGCGACGAUCGUUAGCUGGUCUGAGAGGACGAUCAGCCACACUGGAACUGAGACACGGUCCAGACUCCUACGGGAGGCAGCAGUGGGGAAUUUUCCGCAAUGGGCGAAAGCCUGACGGAGCAACGCCGCGUGGGUGAUGAAGUCUUUCGGGACGUAAAACCCUUUCAGCAGGGACGAAGCGAGUGACGGUACCUGCAGAAGAAGCAUCGGCUAACUACGUGCCAGCAGCCGCGGUAAUACGUAGGAUGCGAGCGUUGUCCGGAUUUAUUGGGCGUAAAGCGAACGUAGGCGGUUUCUUAAGUUUGGUCUUAAAGACCGGGGCUCAACCCCGGGAAUGGACUGAAUACUGGGAGACUAGAGGAUGUUAGAGGAAAGUGGAAUUCCAAGUGUAGCGGUGAAAUGCGUAGAUAUUUGGAGGAACACCAGUGGCGAAAGCGGCUUUCUGGGACAUUCCUGACGCUGAGGUUCGAAAGCUCGGGGAGCAAACAGGAUUAGAUACCCUAGUAGUCC